CUUUAUUACGGAGAGCACCUGAUGGACCUGUCAUUAUUCACCAAUACAGACAAUAACACCACGUAUGAGAACAGGAAGGCCCCUUUAUUACGGAGAGAGUGAAAGAUGUACAACGUUGAAAUGGUUUUGACUAGAAGAGAGAAAUAAAGGUUGUGUUUGAUUAUGUCAUGUUAUUAUUCUAAUUUUAUUAUUAUUAAGUUUGUGAUUUUGUGUUUUCUGUCCCUGACAGUUCUGAUCAGAGACGCGUGAUUAAAGCCUUACCUCUGUAAAAGUUACACUGUUUAUUCCUCCGACCACGAAGAAGAAGAAGGCAUAACUAUCUUAUUCCUCCGACCACGAAGAAGAAGAAGGCAUAACUAUCUUAUUCCUCCGACCACACUAGUAAAGGGCCCAGUGAAAUGCCUUGGUGCUGUAACUGUUAACCAUAAUCAAGAGAACAGAAGGUUUCCUGCUCAGAGGAAUAUAUCUGAAGGAAAAAAGACUUAGAGAAACCAAACAGAAAACAAUCUCCCACUAUCACAAUACAUAUGUAGUUAUCCCAUAACACAGGCCAGCCAUAGGUGAUGCUUCAGUCCUCAACUACCCCAGGAUCCAAUAUGUUGUUGUCCCAUAACACAGGCCAGCCAUAGGUGAUGCUUCAGUCCUCAACUACCCCAGGAUUCAAUAUGUUGUUGUCCCAUAACACAGGCCAGCCAUAGGUGAUGCUUCAGUCCUCAACUACCCCAGGAUUCAAUAUAUUGACAGUCUCACAGACGUUUCCAGUUUCUACUGAGCCAAUAGCUUCGUUUGCUGCUGGUACCCAUCCCAAAUUCCAUCAGGGCUACAAAUGGGAAGAGAUUGAAGAAAUCCGCUGACAGAGCAGUGUGUGUGUGUGUGUGUGUGUGUGUGUGUGUGUGUUUCCUCAGCUAGUCUCAUGGUCUUCAUAUUACAGGUUCUGCAGCAAAAAGUUUAUAUGGUGCUGGUUCAAUAACAGUUGGUGGUUCUACCACUCUCCUCUCCUCUCCUCUCCUCUCCUCUCCUCUCUCCUCUCCUC
Molecule: long non-coding RNA, 1033 nt
Organism: Oncorhynchus tshawytscha (Chinook salmon)
Lineage: Eukaryota; Metazoa; Chordata; Actinopteri; Salmoniformes; Salmonidae
Source: Ensembl